RNAcentral lists this ribosomal RNA (439 nucleotides) under uncultured bacterium. Its description in RNAcentral is "partial 16S ribosomal RNA". It matches the Rfam family "Bacterial small subunit ribosomal RNA", at positions 339 to 795 of the family's 1533-position model. The record is from RNAcentral.
CUACGGGAUGCUCCAGUGGGGAAUUUUGCGCAAUGGGGGAAACCCUGACGCAGCAAUACCGCGUGAGUGAAGAAGGCCUUUGGGUCGUAAAGCUCUUUUCUUGGGGAAGAUAGUGACGGUACCCAAGGAAUAAGCACCGGCUAACUCCGUGCCAGCAGCCGCGGUAAUACGGAGGGUGCAAGCGUUGUUCGGAUUUACUGGGCGUAAACGGCACGUAGGCGGCACAGCAAGUUAAGGGUGAAAUCCCGGGGCUCAACUCCGGAACUGCUCUUAAAACUGCUGAGCUAGAGAUAGUCAGAGGCGGGUGGAAUUCCAGGUGUAGAGGUGAAAUUCGUAGAUAUCUGGAGGAACACCGGUGGCGAAGGCGGCCCGCUGGGGCUAUUCUGACGCUAAGGUGCGAAAGCGUGGGGAGCAAACGGGAUUAGAUACCCUGGUAGUC